UACUGGCAGGAUCAACCAGGUAGCAUUCCUUCGCGACGCCGACGCCCGCAUGAGGCCCGACAAGCCGUGCGGCCGUUGGACGCUCAAGACGGGUGCGGCAGUCGUUCGUGUCGAUGGAUAAAAUGCAUUGCUUGGGCAAACGAAGGCCAACAGACCCUGCGCCCACGCAUAACAUUCCGCAUCCGAGAGCACGGGCAGAGCACCUCAUGGGCCAAGGCAACCACGCGAGUGGGCGAGGCAUGCCAGGAACACGAGGCUCGCCUUGCGUCCACCCCACCACCCG
This 283-nucleotide unclassified non-coding RNA is filed under the name Protium atlanticum. RNAcentral describes it as "Crepidospermum atlanticum partial external transcribed spacer". Lineage: Eukaryota; Viridiplantae; Streptophyta; Magnoliopsida; Sapindales; Burseraceae. The record is from RNAcentral.